Long non-coding RNA from Dendroctonus ponderosae (mountain pine beetle), 606 nucleotides. RefSeq lists it as uncharacterized. NCBI's taxonomy places the organism in Eukaryota, Metazoa, Arthropoda, Insecta, Coleoptera, Curculionidae. The transcript has 4 exons. The record is from RefSeq and is a predicted model, not a curated record.
CCAAACGUUCAAUUGCCAAUUAGUGAGUUGAGCCGAUUUCAGAAUUAUUGCAUCCGGUUGGUUCACUACCACGUGACUUGAGGAAAACUAAUUGCUUCAGCGUUAUGCACUACAACGGUUUUAUGGCAAUGAUGAAUUGGAAACUUUGUCAUAAAAGCCAUUAGCGAAUGUGUUAGAAACAAAAAUUUUAUGUUUAGAAAAGAUUUAUUGCUGCUUUGUCCUGCUGUGUUCUAGCUAUGUACAGAGUGUUUCAACGAUAGUGUACAGUAGAAACCAAUAAUGCGAAUGACCAAAAAUCUACUUCAAGGGGUGGCAGAUGACACCAUUACAUUUUGAAUCUGCCUAUUGUCAUGUUAAUGCCUCUGUUAUAUUGCCAUAUACAUCGGAUUCACGUCCUGCAUAACACUUCAGAAAAGCAUUGUUCGUAAAUCAUCCGGGACAUGCCUACGGGGUAAUUCAAAAUUGAGGUCUUGCCUGUAUACUCAAAGCUGCGCCAUCGACUGUGAAUGAUCCUGAACAUAUGAUAAUUUAUUUUACCUUCAGCUGUUCCAUAACGACUAUAAUUUGGCAUUCUUUAAAAUGUCAUAAUGAUGUUUAUUACCGCAC